GCGAGGCAGCCUCUCCUGCCGCGCCGUGUGCGAGCGCACACGUCAUGGGCGCAGCAAGCACAAACCCAACCCCCAAUCCAUAGCCGCCACACCCUCCCUCCUCCUAUUUCCUCCCUCGUCUGCCGCCGCCACGCCCUCCCUCCUCGUCGCCCUGUCUCUGCCCAGCUUUGCCGCCUCCCACGCGCUCGUCCUCUCACCUCCCAUGGAGGGGAGGGGUGAGGAUGUUGGGAAAGGAGGAAGCCGGAGAUGAGGAGGUCGAUGCAGGGGACGCCAUGGAUGGUCGGGGCGCUGGCUCCUCCUUUCCCCAUGCCACGGCUGCCCAGAUCCGGCGAUCCCCUCCCACUCCGGCAUCCAGGUUGGAGGCAUUGGCGUGAAGGUGUCGUGAGUUAUUUGCAAGGGCAUUGUUCUGACGUGCUCCUCCAUGUCUCCUGCGAGUUCUUGGUGUGGCGAUCAUGGCUCCAGAUAGCAUAAAAUCGACAUCAUGGGUGUCGGUGCAGAAUGACGGAGGAGCGGGAGAAGCAGGAGCUGCUCGGACGCGCUAGCGCCAGUGAGAUCUUCCAGCAUGCGCCGACGGACAAGCCGGCAUUCACGCUGGCCCAGAUCAAGGAGGCAAUCCCGCCUCACUACUUUCAGUGCUCGUUGAUCAAGUCCUUCUCCUAUGUGGUCUAUGACCUCGUCACCAGCGCGUCCCUCCUGUACGCCGGGUUGGUCUGGAUCCCAGCACUCUCGAGCAUGCAAUAGUUGGGCGCCUGUCCGCUCUACUGGGUGCCUCAUUUUGAUUUUCUUACCUUGGUGGGUUUGUAUUCAGAAAAUUAAUUUGCCUAUUUUUGCUUUUUAAUCUGUGUUGGGAGAAAGAUGUUCCUCAUUGUUGAGAAAAUGUUUAUUGUAUGGACCAUACAAGGUUCUUUCUCCAAAUGUUAUUGUGUGGUGCAACUAUGAUCUAUUUUCCUUGUGCAGAGGUCUGUGACGAGGCAGACAGGUGGCGGGCGGCAACAAUAGGGGUUGGCGGAUGCUCCGAGACCAAUAGCCUACUUAGUGAUGGGAAGGAGGAUCUGACAAGUUAACCCCCCACAAUUGUGUUGUUGGAGAACUUCUGCGAGCUCAGUAAAAUAAUGAAUCUUCAUCUCCGAUGUUUUCUCUCGAAAAUGGAGCGCGGAUCGCAGGAGCAAGGAGCUGGUCGAGUGUAGUGAACAAACAAUCAACGCGGCACAUUUGGAAGUUGUGAGAGCUGUGAAUGGCACCGGUCUUGUCAUACUAAUGAGCAGGAGCACCGGCCACAUUACUCUUCAUGCCACUCUAAGCAGUCGGCUGCUACUUGAGAUUGAUUUCCAUGUUUAAGGAAAGGGAGACCGGAUUGAGUUCCUGUAUAUGCAAGAAGAAGGGGCAUUGUCGUGGUUGUUGCUGAAGGUGUUGGUCAGGAGCUGAUUACCGGGACUGAUGACAAGAACGAAGAGCAAGAUGAGUAUGUCAACAUGUUGUUCCUUAACGUUGGCCUUCUUCUAUAAAGUUCACAUGCAACUCUCCUUCAUGGUUAGAAAAAACUAAUUUAAACGUUUUCUUUCUUUGAUGGUUACUCAUUUCUCUUACCAUUGUUGUAUCAAAACAAUUUUAUUUUCGCUGAUGGCCGCUUGGGCUCAUUUUCGAAGAGAAUGAGAUGUGGAAUAAACUACUCUAAAAUGGUUGGUUCCCUUCAAA
Triticum aestivum (bread wheat) is the source of this 1695-nucleotide long non-coding RNA. RefSeq lists it as uncharacterized. The transcript is spliced from 4 exons. The record is from RefSeq and is a predicted model, not a curated record. NCBI's taxonomy places the organism in Eukaryota, Viridiplantae, Streptophyta, Magnoliopsida, Poales, Poaceae.